GCCCUGGUGGCACAAUGGUUAAGUGUUCAGCUGCUAACCCAAAGGGUGGUGGUUCAAACCCACCCAGUGGCU
This 72-nucleotide transfer RNA is filed under the name Loxodonta africana (African savanna elephant). It matches the Rfam family "tRNA". Rfam says of the family: Transfer RNA (tRNA) molecules are approximately 80 nucleotides in length. Their secondary structure includes four short double-helical elements and three loops (D, anti-codon, and T loops). The record is from Rfam by way of RNAcentral. Lineage: Eukaryota; Metazoa; Chordata; Mammalia; Proboscidea; Elephantidae.